AUUCUCCUCUUUUUUUUUUUUUUUAAGAUAAUUUUACUUCUAGUUUACAGAGAAAAUUUAGAAAAGAAAAAGUUUGAAUUAUAAAACAUUUGGCUUUUUUAAUUUAUCAUUGGCUGUUGGUGUUUGCUUCUGCUUGCUUUUCUAUGCCCUGGUUUUCCUUGUUUCAUAUUCUGUUCUUUUUAGUUUUUUCUCUAAUAACUAGCAAUAAAUAAGAUUCUCGAGAUUAGAGUCUGAGACAAAGACCCCAGGACUCUAUUCAAGCUCUUUCUGAACUUGGGUUUUUCAUAAACAGUGAGAGGUUGUGUUGUGUGAGAAACAAACCGUCUCGCUAUCAUUCUGAUGAAGGAGAGAGGAG
RNAcentral lists this unclassified non-coding RNA (355 nucleotides) under Hevea brasiliensis (rubber tree). Lineage: Eukaryota; Viridiplantae; Streptophyta; Magnoliopsida; Malpighiales; Euphorbiaceae. The record is from RNAcentral.